CUACUCCACACUCAACCUGGCUGCUGUCCCCCCUGUCCUCAGCUGCACUGAAACAGAGCAGCGAAGGCACAAGCCAAGAACCAUGGGUGUGAAACCAGGCAGAGUGAGUGACAUGGUGUUCACUUCCACUAAGCCAAAGCAGUUUACAGUUGCUGAUGGUGUAAGGAGUACACGUUACAAGGCCGUGCGGGGGGAGCUGCCAGACCCAGAUGUCCUCAAAGUCAGCGAGGCAUACAAGGACUUCUCAGCAGACAUCGCACCACGAAAAAAGAACGAAUGAAUCACUACUCAACUCAACGACUAACACUCUUUCAGAGGAUAUGUUGGAAAUGCACACAUUAUAUAUCUUUUUUGCAUCUACUUUCUGGAUAUUGUACAUCUGUUCAUCUGUUAUAUAAACUAGCAUUACUUAAAUAUGCAGAGACUAAUUGAAAUGUUUAAAUAUGUAUUUUCCCCCCCCGAUAUAACAUCAACCUAUGUUUU
Gymnodraco acuticeps is the source of this 483-nucleotide long non-coding RNA. RefSeq lists it as uncharacterized. Lineage: Eukaryota; Metazoa; Chordata; Actinopteri; Perciformes; Bathydraconidae. The transcript has 3 exons. The record is from RefSeq and is a predicted model, not a curated record.